RNAcentral lists this non-coding RNA (39 nucleotides) under Alexandrium minutum. The record is from RNAcentral. Lineage: Eukaryota; Dinophyceae; Gonyaulacales; Pyrocystaceae.
UUUUUUUUUUUUUUUUUUUUUUUUUUUUUUUUUUUCCAA